Molecule: ribosomal RNA, 301 nt
Filed under: uncultured bacterium
Lineage: Bacteria
Description: partial 16S ribosomal RNA
Rfam family: Bacterial small subunit ribosomal RNA
Source: RNAcentral
CAGUAGCCGCGGUAAUACGUAGGUGGCAAGCGUUGUCCGGAAUUAUUGGGCGUAAAGGGCUCGCAGGCGGUUUCUUAAGUCCGAUGUGAAGGCCCCCGGCUCAACCGGGGAGGGUCAUUGGAAACUGGGAAACUUGAGUGCAGAAGAGGAGAGUGGAAUUCCACGUGUAGCGGUGAAAUGCGUAGAGAUGUGGAGGAACACCAGUGGCGAAGGCGACUCUCUGGUCUGUAACUGACGCUGAGGAGCGAAAGCGUGGGGAGCGAACAGGAUUAGAUACCCCAGUAGUCCCUGUCUCUUAUAC